RNAcentral lists this long non-coding RNA (12393 nucleotides) under Lynx pardinus (Iberian lynx). Lineage: Eukaryota; Metazoa; Chordata; Mammalia; Carnivora; Felidae. The record is from RNAcentral.
UUCAGAGGAGCAGGAACAGGAGCCCGGGCUGAGUCUGAAAAAAGCCGGAUCCAGAAGGUGGCUCCGGAACGGCUGGAAUUGGAAGAUGGAGGAGCCGGAGGAACCGGCGGACAGUGGGCAGUCGCUGCCUCCAGUGUACAUCUACAGUCCCGAGUAUGUCAGCAUGUGCGACUCCCUGGCCAAAGUCCCCAAACGGGUAAGAGAGGUGGGGAUAAAAGACCGUGGGCUUUUAGGGUGGGGGUGGGGGCUGUCNNNNNNNNNNNNNNNNNNNNNNNNNNNNNNNNNNNNNNNNNNNNNNNNNNNNNNNNNNNNNNNNNNNNNNNNNNNNNNNNNNNNNNNNNNNGCACCGGAGGGGGUAGGGGUGCGGGGGAGGGGAUGGUACUAGGGGAUGGUGGCUCCACUACAAGGGAUCCCUGAAGUGGAGAAGACGCUGCAAGAGAAACGUUCCAGCACCUCCGUGAGGCCCGGUGGCUUUCUCCUUAGCUAUUUAUAUACUUUGUAUCUAUUUUGUCUAAAGUGCAUUGCAACUGGUAAGUAAAAAGAAGCGAGGGGAGUUAAAAGUUACUUUCUUUGUUCAGGAUGAUGAAGUCGAUGGUAUUUCUCUGAAAUAAACAUUGAAGAGACGUUUUUCUGCCUUUUUUUUUUUCUUUUUUGUUGAUGCUUCUAGGCCAGUAUGGUACAUUCUUUGAUUGAAGCAUAUGCACUGCAUAAGCAAAUGAGGUAAGUUGUCUUUCUUGAACCAAGCCCUGAAGCUAAGUGCUCCUUAGUAUCCUACUUCACAGUGGACCUAAUUAGGAAGAGAAUAGUCCUUUCUUUCAAAGUUUUUUGCAAUUCAGUGUUUGUAAUCUGCCUGUAACCUAGUGAAAGCUCUUGAAGCAUUAAGAAAACUUGAAAAAAGUACGUAAAGCAGUUAAGACCCAUUAGAAAUAAGAUUCUAUUACUGGAAGGGAAAGUAAUUUAGGGAUAGGUGCCCUGUGGAGAUUUCAAGGUGAGUACCUUAGGGUAGUAAAACCCAUCUGAUGGAAAAGAAAUUUUAUUCACCUGUGACAUGUUCUGAGAUUUCUAUGUGUUUAUUUCUAAGCCAAAUCUGAGGGGGUGUGUUCAACUUAAGACUUUUAGACACCCCAUCACCAUCACCUAACUUUUACAAUUAAGCCUGGAGACAAGUCAAGACCAAAGCAAAACUACAACCAAACCAGAACUCAGCACACACUUAAGUGUUGCUUUAAAAAAAAGAAUGAACUUGCUGUUCAUCAUUAUAAGAAUGGAUAUUUUAGCCCUGUCACUUGUAGGAUUAUUUAUGAUAUUGUCUCGCCAAAUAGGUGAGUGUCUACUCUGACUUGUGUAGUAUACUUCAUUUAUUCCCCCAGAAGGUAGUGUAAUAGGCUUUCAAAUUUUAUCCUUGUUAUUAACAAAAUCAUUUACUGAGUACCUUUUUUUUUUUUUUUAGCCCAUAUGUUUGGUAGACGUGAGAACUAUAUGCCUUCCAUCACAGUUACUUAACUUGUCCAAAAAUUACUUUAUGGGCACAUGGGUGGUUUAAGCAUCCAACUCUUGAUUUCCACUCAGGUCAUGAUCUCACUGUUCGUGAGUUCGAGUGUCACAUCAGGCUCCAUGCUGACAGUGUGGAGCAUGCUUGGGAUUCUCUCUCUUUCUCUCUCUUUCUGCCCCUUCCAUGUGUGCACGCUCUCUCUCUCUCUCAAAUUAAAUAAAAUAAACAUAAAGAAUAUUUUAAGACAAACAAGAAAUCGAUGCAAAGCAGAACUGUCCCAUUCACUUGCUAUUAAGCAGAGAGGCUUUCUGUAAGUGUUUGUUAGAUAAGAGGAAGGGCACUAGAAACCUUAGGGCAGGAAAACAUGGUCCAAAAAACUGUAACAUUUUUAUUUUAAUGCACAGGUUUGUCAUUUUCUUGAAGGAGAAGCAAGAGUCCUUGUAUCUUGGCCAUGUAUAUGGAAAUUUUUUGAUAUUUAUUUAUUUUUGAGAGACAGCAUGUGGGGGAGGGGCAGAGACAGAGAGAGAGGAUCCAAAGUGGGCUCCGUGCUGACAUCUGUGAGCCUGAUGCAGAGCUUAAACCAUGAGAUCAUGACCCGAGCCGAAGUUGCACCCUUAAUCAACUGAGCCACCCAGGCGCUACUAUAUAUACUUAAUCGUUGAGACUGAGCUACAGGAUUCUUCUGGCCUGCUUGGUGACAGUACUAGCCUAUACAGUCAUAUUAAUUCAUGAAAAACCCAUGGCUGAGUUCCCAUUCAGCAAACAAACAAAAAAAAAAAACACUACUGCCUCCCUGUGGCGUAGGCCAUCGCUUUUCCAACUUGAAUGUACAUAUGAAUCACCUUGUUAAAUUCCGAUUCUAUAGAUCUAAGGUGGCGCUGAAGGCUGAAGUUCUGCCUGUCUGACAGGCUCCUAGGUGCUGCUGCUGCCGCUGCCGCUGCCGCCGCCGCCACCACUGGUCCAUAGACUACACUUUAAGGGGCAGUGGCAGAGUCAGGAAAAGAAAUGGGGAAUAGGCAGACAAGUUAAAGGUGGUAAGUCCGGUUGUUAGCUUAACACCACCCUGUAUUCUGAGUCGCUUCUAUUUGUCACUUCCUGUGAGAGCUUCUGAGCAAAGUCCCUUCUCUUCUUCCUCUCAGAGGUGGAUAUGAGGGACCAAAUAUAGGAACUUUUAUGUUUUGAGUUGCCUAUUUGUUAUCUGUUAGUAUUAACAAUAAUGAUAGUCAUCCACAAAGCAUUUCCAUAUGUUACCAUUUCAUUUUCACAUUAAGUCCCAUAAGAUCUCCCCACUUUACAGGUGAGGAAACUGAACUACAGAAGUCAAUUUGCCUGAGGUUAUGGAGCUGAUAAGUACAGAGUUAAGAAGAGGUGCUCAGUUCUCAACUCCAAAUUCAAAAUUCAUGAUAAUAAAGUUGCCUAUUAAAGUAAAAUUAGGGGCAACUGGGUGGCUCAGUCAGUUAAGUGUCUGACUCUUGGUUUCGGCUAAGGUCAUGAUCUCACAGUUCAUGGAAUUGAGCCCCAAGUCAGGCUCUGUGCUGACAGUACAGAGUCUGCUUGGGAUUCUCUCUCUCCAUCUCUCUCUGCCCCUCUCCUGUUCUCUUGCUCGCUCUCUCAAAAUAAAUAAAUAAACUUAAAAAUUUUCUAAAGUAAAACUAUAGCUGAAAGGAUUAUAUGUCCCAAUUAGGAACUAAUUCAAGUGCAAAGAUCUCUGCCUACUAGUUUGUCAUGGAAGUUGUAACUCACAGAGUGAAGUUUCUCCAAUAUCUGAUUAUUUCACUUAAAUAUAAUCACUCGCUUUUUUUUUUUUACUACCUGUGAACUCAAGGAGAUCUGUCCUCUCACCCCUUAGUGGAAUCAUUACAGAGAUGUGAGGAAGUGAAGACUACAUCAGUAAAGGAAGAGAACAUGUUUAUUAUUUCAGCCCACUGGAACUGGGAGCUGGGAGUUGUAUUUUCUGCUCAGACUGCUGGCUCCUGCUUCCAGUUUCUGGCAUACUCUGGUUCUGACUCACUCACCUCUCUUUGUUCUCUGUUAUUAUUAGGGUAGUUAAGCCCAAAGUAGCCUCCAUGGAGGAGAUGGCCACCUUCCACACUGAUGCCUAUCUGCAGCAUCUCCAGAAGGUCAGCCAAGAAGGAGAUGACGAUCAUCCAGACUCCGUAGAAUACGGGCUAGGUAAAGUCAUUACUGGGCAGUGAUGGGAGGUAGACAACCUCCACCUAUAAAUUGUAACUACUUAUUUUACAACUUGCAUGAAAGUCUUUAUUUUUUAAUUAAAAACUAAUGUGUUAACCACAAUAUUAAUCUCUUAGCUUAAACACGUAUCUCACUUAAAAAGCAAACCAUAUGAGUUGAGCAAAACCAAAUGACGGAUUAGAUGGAGGAAAAUCUUUUAGUUGCUUAGGCCCAAUAGCAGUGCCCACAUUGGGUCUGGCUGUUAAAACUUGAGUACAUGUUUAUGUUCUGGAUAAGUUUUCAACCCUAUUUCACAUUAAACAGCUGUAUUUUUUUAAACUGUAGGUGGCCAAUGGGAUAGUCUAGAGAAAUAGCAUGGUUUAGUAGAACUCUGGUCUGGGAGAUAGUGAGUAGUGAGUCAAGGGACCUGGGUCCCAGACCUGGCUCUGUAUGACCAAGAUAAGCUAUAUCACCUCUCAAGACUCUGUUUCUCCAUCUGUAGGGUAUGACUAGCUAAUCUUGAAGAUUUAGCCUUUCUAGGUCCAAUGCUUUAAAAAAAUUAUUUCCCCAACAUUGGAGAUGUUUGCUUCUCAUUUGGAAGCUGAUGUUACCACAGGAGCUUUUUGGUAAGAUAUGUUGUUGUCACAUCUCAAGCUAUUCCUCCUAAUAGAGUUCCAGACCCACUUCGAAUGUGUGGAGGUGGGACCUUCCUCCUACACCCCCACUCAAUGCUCAGGACACUAGCUGGGUGUCCUACAAUUCAACUCUGACACUAUCUGCCUGGAGAUAGCAUCAGAUCCCACAGGUUAAGGACUCAGUACCACAACACUGCUCUACUCUUCAGAUACCAAUCACAAGCCCAGGUUGUUACCUGUGCUUCUGACUGGCCAUAAAUCAGACGUCCCCACAAUCCCCUCUUUGGGUUUAAUUUUCUAGAGCAGUGCACAGAACUCAGGGAACCCAUUUAAUCACUAGAUUACUAGUUGCUUACAAAAGGAUAUGUAUAACUCAGAAUGGCCAGAUGGAAGAGAUGCAUAGGGCAAGGUAUGAUGAGAGGAUGUGGAGCUUCCAUGCACUCUCCAGGCAUACCAGUCUCCCCACAUGUCCACGUGUUCACCAAACCAGAAGCUCUCCCAGCCCUCCUUUUGGGUUUUAGGAGGCUCCGUUACAUAGGCAUGACUGAUUAGAUCAUUGACCAAUUGGUGAUUGAACUCAAUCUCCAGCCCCUUCCUCUCUCAGGAGGUCAGGGGAUAGGACUGGUAGUUCCAACCUUCAAUCACCUGAUUUGCUCCACUGGCUACCAACCUCCAUCCUUAGGUGUGAUCCACAGGUCACCUCAUUAGUAUCACAAAGACACCUUUAUUGCUCUCAUUGUUCAGGAAAUUCCAACAGUUUUAGGAGCUCUGUGUCAGAAAUGGAAAUGAAGAUCAUGUAUAAAUAUUUCUUAUUAUAUAAACCACAGUAUCACACCUCCUCUUUCUCAAAUUCAUCUUUUAACAAACUCUUCUGAUGUUUGCCCAAAGGUUAUGACUGUCCAGCCACUGAAGGGAUAUUUGACUACGCAGCAGCUGUAGGAGGGGCUACAAUCACAGCUGCCCAAUGCCUGAUUGAUGGAAUGUGCAAAGUAGCAAUUAACUGGUCCGGAGGGUGGCAUCAUGCAAAGAAGUAAGAAAAUGACCUUUCUGCUUUCUGCCUCUUUCCUUGAGUCAGUUUCUCAGUUAUGUAAACUCUUGUGCUUAUUGUAUCAGCAUUUAUUGGGAGACUUGUGUAUGCAUAUAGCACUUUACCAGGCAUCCUGAAGAGAUACAAGUGAAAUAGAAGAAGAUAGGACAAUAUAAUGGAAACCACACCAUUGAAAGGCAGGAUACCUGACCUCUAUGCCUAGUUUUUCUACAAACUUGGCUAACUGACCUGGAAAGAUUAACCUCUCUAAGCCUCAGUUUUUCCAUCAGGAAAAUGGGCAGGGCAAAGGAUAUAACUAGACAAUCUCUACAUUUCUUUCCAGCUUUUUGGAAAUUCCCCUCACUUCAAGGGACUUAUGCUCUAGAAACACUAACAAAAUUAGAAUAAUUAGGGAGCAAUAUCAAUUUUUUACCCACUGAAUAUAUGUAUGAGCUGAAGAGAUUUAGCAGUAUGGAGAAAUUAAUCAUGGAAGUCUUGGAAGAGGUGAAUUUUAGAACUAGUUCUGAAAGAAGUGGCAAACGGAUUUUCAAACAGGUGGAAAAUUAAUGAGAAUAGAUUAAAAACAAAAUGCUGAAGAAUCAAGAAGGAAGCUCAUGCUACCAUCUCUAGGGAUAGUGGCAACCAACUGAGAGAGUUCAGUGUCACUCUAAGGAGAAAGGGCUUCUGAAACAGCUGUUCUCAGGUGCAUACUGUUGGCCAUGACUUUGAUACUCCUUCGUGCUCUGGAGUCCAGAGAAAAUGGCACUUUGGUUUUCAGAAUAAAACUUUGAGUACAACCUCAGCAGAUGAAGGUUAAGAUACUAGUAUGGAAUUCAUUUCAUCAAAUCGGCAGAUUUUCUGUGUGACCAAGGAAGUCCUUGAGAAAAUUUACUACUAGAAUCUACUACUGAGGUGAUGGCGCUAAGAGAACCAGUGUUUAAUAAGGAGUUUUACAUGGCCUUAAAAACAAAGAGAAACAGCUUACCUUUUGUUAGCUUUUGCUCUAUUAAAAAUUUUCAAAAUAAAGACAGUGAUUCCUAGGACAAAAAAAAAAUGACCCUCCUUUAAACCACACAUGAAAGGCAGAGUGGGGGGGGGGGGGGGGGGGGGACCCAGCCUCUCUGAACCAACGACCUCUAUUCGAAUCCUCUUGUGCUUAUCAAGUUGGGAAGAAAAGUAAUGUGGUUUCAUGGAAAAUGCCUGAUCCUGUGAAUUAGAUCUAGUUUCUGCAUGUGGCACUGGAGGAUCUUAUACAUUGAGUUUUUAAUAAUUUUUUGAAUUUUUUUAAUAUUUAUUUUUGAGAGUCAGAGACAGAGCAUGAGCGGAAUAUGGGCAGAGACAGAAGGAGACCCAGAAUCUGAAAUAGGCUCCAAGCUCUGAGCUGUCAGCACACAGCCUGGCACAGGACUUGAACCCACAAACUGUGAGAUCAUGACCUGAGCGAAAGUCGGACGCUUAACUGACUGAGCCACCCAGGCACCCCAGAUCUUAUGUAUUUAAAUUCAGGGCCUGGAUCCGUUUCUAGUGGAAUACCCAGAUACCUGCCACAUGUCACUGUUUUGCUUUGAAAUGAAGCAUACUCAAUCUAGAGCCAAUCAUGGCUGCUUCUGGGCUACAUGUAGGUGGGUAUUAUCUUAACUGUUUCAGACAGCUUUCAGAUGAUCCUACCUGGAAACAGACACUGUGGUGAAUAGAAAUUACAGAGAGUCUCUAGGGAUUGCCCCAAUUCUGGUCCAAAUUCUAGGGGGUUCUUGGCACCUCUGGAACAUCUCUGCAAAUGGACUACAGGCAUGUAGCCCACCAACUUACAUCUAGCAAGCAUUAUCUAUUAUAACCACAAUAUUUGUUUAAACUUUUCCAUCCCCAAAUACUUGUAUGGAUUCAGACAUGCCAUUUAUUUAUUCAGCAUGCACUGAUUAAGCACCUACUAUACGCCAAGCAUAUGCUUAUCAUCACUAAUAAGCAGAGAUAUAAAAAUUGAAGCAUGGUAUAUUUUUCCCUGACCAAUUUUGAAAACAAAUCUUCAAAAUAUUCUUGUUCUGGUAUGGUUACAGUGAAACUGGUACACUCUUUUUGAAAGCUUUGGAAAUAAGUGUUUAAAAGAGUGGCGAAAAUGUUCAUACCUGUGGACCCAGUAAUAUCAUUCUUAGCAGUCUAUUGUAAGGAAAUAAAACCAAUCCUGCCCUCAAGAAAUUGAUACCUUAAGAGGUAAGACAGCAAAUAAUUGCAUUCAGAAACUAAAAAACAGUGAUUUUCAAAGACAAUUCUUCAAAAGAAGAAUGAUGAGGGACUAAUGCUAUUAGAUAUUAAACAUACAAAACUAGAAUAAUGAAAACAUGGUACCACUGGUAUAAGAUUAGACAGAUGAUAUUACGGUAUGCUCUCCAAAGAGACUUUUACAUAUAAGAAUUCAGCCUAUUAUAAAAGAUGCUUUGCAAGUGAAUAGGAGUGGAAAGGAUUGUUCAGUAAAUGAUGUUGUGACAGCUGGUAGCAUUUAUAGCCUCAUUUCCUGUAAUAAACUAAAAGAAGUGGCAGCUAGAUUGAAGAGUUAAAUAUAAAAAAUCAAAUUAAAAAAACUAGAAUGAAUGGAUAUUUAUCAGGCUUCUGAAGGGGAAUAGAUUUUCUAAGCUUAGGAAGUAAUAGAAAAAAUUCCCAAAGGAAAAGAUCAACAAAUUUAGAUAUAUAAAAUUUUAAAUCCAAAAUAAUUUUUAAAAGUUUUUUGGUCAUUUAAAAAAUAAGAUUUAAACACAGACUAAAAAGGCAUAUUUGACAAAAAUAUGACAGAAUGUGACAGGUUUAUAUUUUCUAAGUAAGGCACUUAUACAGUAUGAUGUAUAAGAAGUAUGGGCAAAGAGCACAAAUAGAAAAUUUACAAAGGUGUUUAAGAACAACUGGAAAACAUGGGGCAAUGCUCAUCACUACUGAUCAAAGAAAUGCAAAUUUAAACAACUAAGUAGCCUCUCUUUAAGCCAGAAUUGAAAAAGAUGGUACUUAUUUGACUGGUAAUAGUGUUUCAGCCCCUUAAAGUAAUUUGGUAGCUAAUGUGUAUUAAUGCCCUUUAUCUACCUUAGGGAUAAGGACUAAUGUCCUUUAAUCCUACUACUGAGAAUAUUUCCAGAAAAAAUAAUGCAAAAUAUACAGAAAAACUAUUUGCAUGGAAGCCUUUAUCAGUGUUACUUAUGAAACAAAAAAAAUUAGAAAUAAUGUGAAUAUGUAGUAAUAAGGAAAUGGUGAAUCUACUCCAUAGAAUAUUAUGCUAUUUUUUAAAUGAUGAUUAUGAAGACUAUAGAGCAUUUCAGAAAAAUACUUACGUGUUAAUAAAAAAUCAGGUUUUAAAAUUGUAUGCACACUGCAAUUACAACUUUAUAGAACAUACACAUAUUAAAAAAACAGUGGGAAUAAUUAGGGUGGCAGAAUUAUUGAUGAUUUUUAAAAAAUGUGUUUCUUUAGUUUGCAAAAUUUCUGGAAAGAGAUUUUAUUACUUUUGCAGCUAAAAUAUUACCAAAAUAAAAAGAUGCAAAAAAAGUUACAGCAAAUAUUACAGAUGUUUAAAUUCUUUAUUCUAAUUGAUUUUUUUUGUUUUUAGUUUAUUUAUUUGCUUUUGAGAUAGAAAGGGAGAGUGAGAGAAAGAAUGAGUCGGGGAGGGGCAGAAAGAAAGGAAAGAAAAUCCCAAGCAGGCUCCACGCUGUCAGUGCAGAGCCCAACAUAGGGCUCAAUCUCACCAACCAUGAGGUCAUGGCUUAGCCGAAACCAAGUGUCAGAUGCUUAACCGACUGAGCCACACAGGCGCCCUUCUAAUUGAUUUUUUAAAACGCUAAAAUUUAGAUAAAUGGACAAAAGACAUGAACAAUUCACAAAAGAGGAAACAAAUAGUAAAUAAACAUGAAUAAAUAUUUAGCAUCACUGAUAAUUAUGGGAAGAGAGAUUGAAAUAUAGUAUAUACAUGUAUACAUUUUUCUCCUCCCAGAUUUGAGCUGAAGGAAGAAAGAUUUUUUACCUCAUAUAUCUAUAACUCUUGGUAAUCUAACCUAAGGAAAUAAGCCAAUCCAAAAUAUGGAAAAGUUGUGUGUAUGAAGAUGGUCAUUUCUCUCUUAUAGCCAAAAAAGAGGAGGGAGACCUGAAUAUCCAACAACAGCAGAAUGGUUAAGUUUUAUACUGUAACAUAUCCACUUGAUGGGCUAUUAUGUAACCAUUAACAAAUGGUGGUUAGGAUGACUGUAUAACAAAAAAAGUGCAUAUUGGGGUGCCUGGGUGGCUCAGUCAGUUGAGCAUCUGACUUCGGCUUAGGUCAUGAUCUCACGGUUGGUGAGUUCAAGCCUCAAGUCGGGCUCUACACUGACGUGUGGAGCCUGCUUGGGAUUCUCUCUCUCCCUCUCUGUCUGCUCCUGCCCCACUCUCACACUCCUCUCUCUCUUUCCCUCCCUCUCUCCCUCCCUCCCUCCCUCUCAAAUAAAAUACAACUUUAAAAAACAGUGCAUAUUGUAUAAUGUUGGCUUUGUUUUUAAAGGGCAGGUAGCUAUAACGUUGUACAUUCACUCUGAUUAGUCAUGUAAAAAAAUAGAUGCUUAUGAAAAAAACAUUUUUUCUUCUUAGAAGGAAAUACAACAAAAUGAUACUGGUGACUUUGUGAGGAUGAUGAUACUGUGAAAGAUAUAGAUAUAUAUAGAUACAGACAUACAUACAUACACACGUAUACAUGUAUCUUUUUUCUGUUUCCUAUAUCUUCUCUAAUGUGUAUUUUAUCAGCAGAACUUUUUAUAGUAAAAACUGCUUGGAACAAGGUGGGAAGCAGUUACAGUACAGACACAAUAUGACCAGUGUAUGCUCCAGUUAUGUGCAGGGUGGUGGAGUGUACAGAAGAAGGAGAAGGAGUUUACCUUCCUAUCAUCAGCAAGGAUGGAGAUUUCCAAGCAGAGGGAACAAUAAAAACAGGGCAGUGGAAAGUAUGGGGCAUUUGGAGAAUUGCAAGUAGUUCAAUGUGGCCAGAAUGUGAGGGCAAAUAGAGCAAGACCAGACUGUAAAGGUUUUGUAAGCUAUGCUGAGGAGUUGGACUUUUUUCUCGGGCCAGUGGGGAUUUACUGAAGAAUUUUAGAGAGGGUGGCAAUGUGCUGAUUGGAUCUGAGGGAACUGAGACUAGAGAGGAGAAGGCCAUUGCAAUUAUUCAUUUAACAAACUUUUAUUAAGCUCCUGCUGUAUUCCAGAUGAUGAGGAAACAAAGAGUUAUACAGGAGGUUCUUAUUACUCUAGGGUACUUGGUACCAGACAGAAGGCCACUUAGUGAACCCAUUUAAAAGGGGGACUAAACCAUCAACUGACAAAUGGAUAAAGAAGAUGUGGUUUAUAUAUAUAAUGGAAUACUACUUGGCAAUGAGAAAGAAUGAAAUCUGGCCAUUUGCAGCAACAUGGAUAGAACUGGAGGGUAUUAUGCUAAGUGAAAUAAACCAGGCAGAGAAAGACAGAUACCAUAUGUUUUCACUCAUAUGUGGAUCUUGAGAAACUUAACAGAAGACCAUGGGGGAGGGGAAGGGGGGAAACAAAAAGUUACAGAGAAGGAGGGAGGCAAACCAUAAAAGACUCUUAAGGACUGAGAACAAACUAAGGGUAGAUGGGGGUUGGGAGAGAGGGGAAAGUGGGUGAUGGGCAGGGAUGAGGGCACUUGUUGGGAUGAGCACUGGGUGUUGUAUGGAAACAAAUUUGCAAUAAAUUAUAUUUUAAAAAUAAAAGGAGGACUAAAAUUUUAGAGUAAAUAAUGGAGCGGGCAGGGCUUGAUUAGUACACUAACUUGAAUAAUUAAAAACUGUUAAAAUUCGUUUGUGUCUUAAUAGAAUUGAAUGCUAUGUAAUUCUUACAACAAACAAAGAAUGCAUUGAGGAUUGAUUGCUUUUGUUUGGGCCUAAUUUUUCAAACAAAAGUGUGCAACAUUUCAAGAUGGUACAUUUGACUUUCUGUGAGAUUUUUGCAGCACAAUCGUUAAGAGGGUUGAUUUUGCCAAAAAUGUUCAAGGGUUUUUCCAGUUUUUCUGAGGGCUUCUCCUUAAUCAUUUGGUAUUCAAAUCACUCUCUUUUGAACAACUUUUAAAAUCAGUAUCCUUAGUUAUUUUUCUCCUCUUCAUCUGUAAACUGGUCUACAGAUCCUGGUUGUCAGUUUCGUGUGUUAACUUCAUGAUAUCUUGCAUAUUUUUAUAAGAUUUGUAAUUUUACUUUGUGAUAGAUUUGUAGUGAAUUGCUCACUGAUAUAUAUGACAAUCCAUAAAAAACAUAGUGAUUGAACAGAUGGAUAGAGAUAGGUACUAGUGUUUAAACGAGUAGGUUGUUUGAAUGGAGACUGACAAAAGUGGUCAGUUCAUUAGCAAAUGCCUUCAUGCUAUGACAGCUUGUGUAUCCCUAGGAAACCUCAAAACCUUGAUACUUCUGGGGCUAAGGCAAUAAAUUCUCAGUAAUAAGAACUUUCUGUAUCAGCAAAAGUCUAGUGCAGUGUUUUUUUAACUGAGAGUUGCAGCUCACUAACAGAACAUUGUGUCAGUUUAGUGGGCUGCAGCCAGCAUGUUUUGAUCCCAAGGUGGAUUUCAUGAAACUUGUUCUAGUGUAUGUGUAUGUAUUUGUGUGUACUAGGCCACAAUGUAAAAUGUCAAGUCACUGUGGAGUGAAAUGACUGUGAACUUUGAAAUAAGACUUAGGUGCAAAUCCAGGCCACACCAUGUACUGGCUAUGUAUGUAACUUUGGGGUUAUUCCAGAAACAGCAUGUGCAGGGACAGAGAUGCAUGAAGGCUGAGGGAACUUCCAAGUCUGUAAUUAAAGCUGGAACUCCUGUAGGUAAGUGACUGUAAGAAAGGUAGGAGAGGUAUAAAGGGUCCUUAUAUGCCAAGCUACAUAGUUUGAACUUAAUCCUUCAGAUCAGUGGUUCUUGACCUGUUUUGGUCAUGGACCCUCUGAAAAUCUGAUGAAAACUAUGUAUACUGUCUACUGUGUAGAAAAGUGCACAUACACAAAUUUUUCCUUGUAAUUUCAGAAAGUAUAAGACUCUCUUAAAGCCCUUGUCUGGAUGGAUGGAUCCCUGGUUAAGAACC